UGCAGAAUCCCGUGAACCAUCGAGUCUUUGAACGCAAGUUGCGCCCGAAGCCUUUAGGCCGAGAGCACGCCUGCCUGGGCGUCA
RNAcentral lists this ribosomal RNA (84 nucleotides) under Crataegus chrysocarpa. RNAcentral's name for it is "partial 5.8S ribosomal RNA". It matches the Rfam family "5.8S ribosomal RNA", at positions 73 to 154 of the family's 154-position model. Rfam says of the family: 5.8S ribosomal RNA (5.8S rRNA) is a component of the large subunit of the eukaryotic ribosome. It is transcribed by RNA polymerase I as part of the 45S precursor that also contains 18S and 28S rRNA. Functionally, it is thought that 5.8S rRNA may be involved in ribosome translocation. Lineage: Eukaryota; Viridiplantae; Streptophyta; Magnoliopsida; Rosales; Rosaceae. The record is from RNAcentral.